GUAGGUUACGUCAAGACUCAGGAGUAUUAAUCCUAAGCUUUUCUUCUCUACUGAAAGUGCUUUACAACCCGCAGGCCUUCUUCACACACGCGGUAUUGCUGGAUCAGGCUUGCGCCCAUUGUCCAAUAUUCCC
RNAcentral lists this ribosomal RNA (133 nucleotides) under uncultured bacterium. RNAcentral describes it as "partial 16S ribosomal RNA". The record is from RNAcentral.